GUGGUGCUCUUGUGUAACUUCAUGCAUGUUCCAAAAACCCCCGCAGUACAGUGGAACACCGCUGGAUUUGAGGACAUUAUGUAACCUCAGAAAUUGAGACAAGGGGUUAACGGGGACACUCCCCCGCCAGACGGACCGGCGCUGCGCGCGAGAGGAAACGGAGAGGGGAGGGAGGCGGGGGUCAUUCGCGCGCGUCGGGUUUCACAAAACACAUACAUACACACAGUUGCACACGCAGGCACGUGACUCCGAAUGGCCGCUGUGGCUUCCUCUGCCUCGCGCGGAUCUCCGUUCCCACUUCCCGUCUCCACGUCCGAGUCGGUCCGACGCGCGCGCCGUUUCUGAUCCCGCAUUCCGGCUUAACAUUUGGAGGUCACUUGUGCACGGGGAGGGUCACACACACACACACACACACACACACACACACACACACACACACACACAGCACGAGAAAACAGCGGCACGACUCACUGGAGUAACAUCAUCACAUCACAGCGCAUCGCGUCAGACCCGAAGAGAAACUUCCAUCGGUCGCGAGACGCCGGUGGGCGGAGCCAACAGGUUACAGCUCACAGAGUGAGUGCUGGUUGACGUCGAUGUCGAUGCGUGUGGCGUUAUUCCGGUGAGAAGUCCGGGGUUGUGCGGCGGCUCUGGCGUCACACGGGGACAUCAGGGGUUAUAUAUCGUUUCAUCAUCACUGAUAUCGAACGUAAAGCGAUGACGGCCAGGCUCGAGACGGUAUUGAUGAGAAACCCAGCGUAGACGUUGAAGCGACUCGGCUCGGCACGACGAGCCGGACAGACCGAAAGACCAAAGCGCCGCCGCAUCGCUCAGUUUUCCUAUAGAGGACGCACGGGCUAAUAUUCCGGGUAAACCGAGGAAAAUGAUCUAGUGUUACACAUCUGUGAGGGACGAAACUACGUGAACGUCUAGGAUCGGACUCGGGUGUUUUCGGUCAGUGGGUCGACGAUGAGUAAAACGGUGACAAAGACUGGAUCAGUGGCCCAUGAGGAGUGAGACAGGUAUGUUUGACACACACACACACACAGGCAGUGCAGUGUUCAUAUACUCUCCAUUACAUUAUCUCCUUCACUCAGGGGUUGUUCAAGUGGGCGGGGCUUAUUCAUCCUCACACUGUAACAACACAUCAUUAUGGUGCUU
Long non-coding RNA from Ictalurus punctatus (channel catfish), 1161 nucleotides. The record is from Ensembl. Lineage: Eukaryota; Metazoa; Chordata; Actinopteri; Siluriformes; Ictaluridae.